This is a non-coding RNA of Pelobates cultripes (western spadefoot toad), 356 nucleotides long. Lineage: Eukaryota; Metazoa; Chordata; Amphibia; Anura; Pelobatidae. The record is from the annotation of a GenBank genome assembly.
GAGUGGGAUCCUGAGGGUUUGUUUUCCUGGCACUAUAGUGGUCCUUUAAGGACAUGGAGGCUCAUAUUAUGCUAGUUCUAAGCUGUGAAAUAACAGUAGAGGAGACAUGUUCUUUAGGACGAAAAUAAUAUUCCUUAAAUGUUGAUUCACAAGACCAAUCCAACAUCCGAAGAAGGUCUUCCAGUUUACAGCCCAGGUUGAAAGCUUUUGAAGCCAUGGCCCCUCUAGUAGAAUGUGCGCCAUAGAUGGAUUAAUCUAUGUUAGCUAAAGACAUUAUCCAUUUUACGCAGCGGGCUAAUGUCACCGUAGAUACAGGGUGAUGUGGUAGGCUAAGAGCCAAGAACAACUAGUUAGAC